This 381-nucleotide long non-coding RNA is filed under the name Manihot esculenta (cassava). RNAcentral's name for it is "long non-coding RNA (MESC_LNC012413)". The record is from RNAcentral. Lineage: Eukaryota; Viridiplantae; Streptophyta; Magnoliopsida; Malpighiales; Euphorbiaceae.
UGCCCCUUUACCUCCUCAGCAGUUAUUUCAUGAGUGAUGAGGGGGUAAAUCCCUAGGCCCCCAUUAUGCUCGCGCGGCCCAAGGGAGGCUUCUGUCAAAACAUCCCUUCUCUGCCUUUACUCUUUUCAAAUUCAAACUCCUCAUUUCUCUCCAGACUCUUCUUCUCACUUUUCUCUUUGUAUUUCGUCUCUCUCAUCUUUUGCGAAAUCCCUUCGAGGUACGUCUUCUGCUUUCUCUAAUGGUUGUCCCUAGACUUCUUGAUGUUGUGAAUCUGAGGUCCUGCAUCACUACUGCUUCCCUUACCAACUUCUUUUCUCGGGAAUAUCUAGAUAUCUCUAUCUAUCGUGUUAGGGCUCCUCAUCCUAAUGAGAUGAUCGUUCU